RNAcentral lists this long non-coding RNA (955 nucleotides) under Brassica rapa (field mustard). Its description in RNAcentral is "long non-coding RNA (BRAP_LNC008899)". Lineage: Eukaryota; Viridiplantae; Streptophyta; Magnoliopsida; Brassicales; Brassicaceae. The record is from RNAcentral.
GCUUUUCCAACAUGGUAUCAGAGCUUUGUUGCUCUUCUUGGGCUGAACUCACUUCUUUUGUCAAUUUCUUCAUCUGAAUCUCUCUCUCUUUCUCCUUUAAAUUCGUUUUUGAUGAGCUGUGUGGCUGGGAUUCAAAACUUGGACAGUAGAGAGUGUAGAUGAAGUAUGUAUUCAAAAUCUGUGAGUUUCUUUAAGAUGCAAGUCUUUAAAAGUUUUUUUUUAAUCAAUGACUCUCCCCUUUAUCUCCUCAUUGUUUAAGCCUUUGGAUGAAAGAUUAAAAUCUGUUCAUGUCAGCUUGAGGGAGGGAGAAAAGAUUAAACUUGUAUCUUGAAGAACUCUUGAAAAGAAAAAAAAAAUCGAUUUCAAAAAUAUUUUUGUGUUCUUCAUCUUGUCUAAUGAUUUCUUUAAAGAAGACAAGAUGGAGUUCUGUUUUGGUUUCUUCUCUCCCAUGUGUAAGCUGUGGUUCUGAUCUUGAGUUGGGAUCCUAAUCCAAGGCUAAGGGAGAGAAAUGAAACAAAAGACUUCAUCUGUUUUGUGCUUUAAAAACAGUUUUAAAAGAUGAAGUUCUUGCUGGUUUUGUCUCAAACAUUAUCAUCCUUUUCUACCCUUUGUCUCUUAAUAUUUUCAAACUUGGUAAAAGGCUUUAAGUCUAAUGAAACCAAUGCUUGAGGGAGGGAGAAAGAUUGAUGAUGAUUUGAAGAAAAUUGAUUUGUAAGAGCAUUUGAAUUUCAGAUUUAAAGAAAAGCUCUUUGAAAGGAUUUAAAAAAAAAAAAUCUGAAAAUGUUUUGAACAGAUUCUUGAGUAAUCUGAUUUCGAAAAUGCUUUAAAAAUGUGUUAACUGGUGGGAUGUUCAUGCCUCACCAGCAUUGUGAUCAGCCAUGAAGCUUGAAGGCCAUGGACUGCAAUCUGCUUCCGCAAAACUCUCAUUCUCCUCCAUACUCUUACUCUCCAUUAU